UUGUAUAGAGUGACCCAAAGCACAUCCAAAAACAAACCCUUCAUCAUGUCUUACAUGGCAUUGGCUUUCAUUGUCCUGAUCGCUCUGGCAACAGUUAAUGCUGAACCUAAAGAAGUUGAUGCAGAUAUGAGUUCAAGAAAAUGUUAUAAACUUUAUGGGAGAUGUCGUUUGAAAUGUUUAAAGUAUGAGGAUAGUCAAGGAAGAAUGGAUUGCCCUGCACUUCAAAGGUGCUGUACUCUUACACUUUAAGUGAAAGAACUGCUUAUGAUAUUAUGCUUCCAUGAUUUUUUCUCCAGUCAUAGAACAAACAAAACAUCCAUCAUGGAGAAGCUACUGUGUUCUUUUGCUUUAUGAAGAACAUCUUCUCACCAUAUCUUCUUUGAUUUUGCAUUCUUCAUUAAUAAUUCCAACUCUAAUGAUUAGUGAAUGAUGAUGCUGCAAAGUCUCUGAGCUAACACAAUUUAAUAAUGUGACAGAAAACUAUCUUUGAAUGUUGACUUUUGCUUAAUUUGCCAUUAAAUGUUGAUUUUUGCAUUCA
Molecule: long non-coding RNA, 538 nt
Organism: Protopterus annectens (West African lungfish)
Lineage: Eukaryota; Metazoa; Chordata; Ceratodontiformes; Protopteridae
Exons: 3
Source: RefSeq, a predicted model, not a curated record